RNAcentral lists this ribosomal RNA (858 nucleotides) under uncultured Gammaproteobacteria bacterium. RNAcentral describes it as "bacterial SSU rRNA". It matches the Rfam family "Bacterial small subunit ribosomal RNA", at positions 68 to 920 of the family's 1533-position model. Lineage: Bacteria; Pseudomonadati; Pseudomonadota; Gammaproteobacteria. The record is from RNAcentral.
GGGGGAAGGUAGCUUGCUACAUUACCUAGCGGCGGACGGGUGAGUAAUGCUUAGGAAUCUGCCUAUUAGUGGGGGACAACAUCUCGAAAGGGAUGCUAAUACCGCAUACGUCCUACGGGAGAAAGCAGGGGACCUUCGGGCCUUGCGCUAAUAGAUGAGCCUAAGUCGGAUUAGCUAGUUGGUGGGGUAGAGGCCUACCAAGGCGACGAUCUGUAGCGGGUCUGAGAGGAUGAUCCGCCACACUGGGACUGAGACACGGCCCAGACUCCUACGGGAGGCAGCAGUGGGGAAUAUUGGACAAUGGGGGGAACCCUGAUCCAGCCAUGCCGCGUGUGUGAAGAAGGCCUUUUGGUUGUAAAGCACUUUAAGCGAGGAGGAGGCUGCCGAGAUUAAUACUCUUGGAUAGUGGACGUUACUCGCAGAAUAAGCACCGGCUAACUCUGUGCCAGCAGCCGCGGUAAUACAGAGGGUGCAAGCGUUAAUCGGAUUUACUGGGCGUAAAGCGCGCGUAGGUGGCCAAUUAAGUCAAAUGUGAAAUCCCCGAGCUUAACUUGGGAAUUGCAUUCGAUACUGGUUGGCUAGAGUAUGGGAGAGGAUGGUAGAAUUCCAGGUGUAGCGGUGAAAUGCGUAGAGAUCUGGAGGAAUACCGAUGGCGAAGGCAGCCAUCUAGCCUAAUACUGACACUGAGGUGCGAAAGCAUGGGGAGCAAACAGGAUUAGAUACCCUGGUAGUCCAUGCCGUAAACGAUGUCUACUAGCCGUUGGGGCCUCUGAGGCUUUAGUGGCGCAGCUAACGCGAUAAGUAGACCGCCUGGGGAGUACGGUCGCAAGACUAAGACUCAAAUGAAUUGACCGGGGA